UUCCGGUUGAUCCUGCCGGAGGUCAUUGCUAUUGGAAUCCGAUUUAGCCAUGCUAGUCGCACGAGUUCAGACUCGUGGCAGAUAGCUCAGUAACACGUGGCCAAACUACCCUGUCGAUCGGGACACCCUCGGGAAACUGAGGCUAAUCCCGGAUACGGCUCGCUGCCUGGAGGUGGCGCGAGCCCGAAACGUUCAGGCGCGACAGGAUGUGGCUGCGGCCGAUUAGGUAGACGGUGGGGUAACGGCCCACCGUGCCGAUAAUCGGUACGGGUUGUGAAAGCAAGAGCCCGGAGACGGAAUCUGAGACAAGGUUCCGGGCCCUACGGGGCGCAGCAGGCGCGAAACCUUUACACUGCACGCGAGUGCGAUAGGGGGACUCCAAGUGCGAGGGCAUACAGUCCUCGCUUUUCACCACCGUAAGGAGGUGGUAGAAUAAGUGCUGGGCAAGACCGGUGCCAGCCGCCGCGGUAAUACCGGCAGCACGAGUGAUGACCGCUAUUAUUGGGCCUAAAGCGUCCGUAGCCGGCCGGGCAAGUCCAUCGGGAAAUCCGCACGCCUAACGUGCGGGCGUCCGGUGGAAACUGUUCGGCUUGGGACCGGAAGAUCCAGAGGGUACGUCUGGGGUAGGAGUGAAAUCCUGUAAUCCUGGACGGACCACCGGUGGCGAAAGCGCUCUGGAAGGACGGAUCCGACGGUGAGGGACGAAAGAUAGGGUCACGAACCGGAUUAGAUACCCGGGUAGUCCUAGCCGUAAACGAUGUCUGCUAGGUGUGGCACAGGCUACGAGCCUGUGCUGUGCCGUAGGGAAGCCGUGAAGCAGACCGCCUGGGAAGUACGUCUGCAAGGAUGAAACUUAAAGGAAUUGGCGGGGGAGCACUACAACCGGAGGAGCCUGCGGUUUAAUUGGAUUCAACGCCGGA
This 920-nucleotide ribosomal RNA is filed under the name uncultured archaeon. RNAcentral's name for it is "bacterial SSU rRNA". It matches the Rfam family "Archaeal small subunit ribosomal RNA", at positions 1 to 922 of the family's 1478-position model. The record is from RNAcentral.